AUUGAACGCUGGCGGCAGGCCUAACACAUGCAAGUCGAGCGGUAGAGGGGUGCUUGCACUCCUUGAGAGCGGCGGACGGGUGAGUAAUGCCUAGGAAUCUGCCUGGUAGUGGGGGAUAACGUUCGGAAACGGACGCUAAUACCGCAUACGUCCUACGGGAGAAAGUGGGGGCUCUUCGGACCUCACGCUAUCAGAUGAGCCUAGGUCGGAUUAGCUAGUUGGUGAGGUAAAGGCUCACCAAGGCGACGAUCCGUAACUGGUCUGAGAGGUUGAUCAGUCACACUGGAACUGAGACACGGUCCAGACUCCUACGGGAGGCAGCAGUGGGGAAUAUUGGACAAUGGGCGCAAGCCUGAUCCAGCCAUGCCGCGUGUGUGAAGAAGGUCUUCGGAUUGUAAAGCACUUUAAGUUGGGAGGAAGGUCAGUAGCUUAAUACGUUGCUGAUUUGACGUUACCGACAGAAUAAGCACCGGCUAACCCUGUGCCAGCAGCCGCGGUAACAC
RNAcentral lists this ribosomal RNA (503 nucleotides) under uncultured bacterium. RNAcentral's name for it is "bacterial SSU rRNA". It matches the Rfam family "Bacterial small subunit ribosomal RNA", at positions 30 to 526 of the family's 1533-position model. The record is from RNAcentral.